AGCAGCCGCGGUAGUUCCAGCUCCAAUAGCGUAUAUUAAAGUUGUUGCAGUUAAAAAGCUCGUAGUUGAAUUUCGGGAUCAAGGAAUCGGUCAUGCCUUGGUAUGUACUGGUUUUAUUGGUUCUCACCUUCUAAAGAACCAUGAUGUCAUUCAUUUGAUGUUAUGGGGAAUUAGGGCUGUUACUUUGAAAAAAUUAGAGUGUUUAAAGCAGGCUCACGCUUGAAUACAAUAGCAUGGAAUAAUGAAAUAGGACGUUUGAUUCUAUUUUGUUGGUUUCUAGGAUCGACGUAAUGAUUAAUAGGGAUAGUCGGGGGCAUUAGUAUUCAAUUGUCAGAGGUGAAAUUCUUGGAUUUAUUGAAGACUAACUACUGCGAAAGCAUUUGCCAAGGAUGUUUUCAUUAAUCAAGAACGAAAGUUAGGGGAUCGAAGACGAUCAGAUACCGUCGUAGUCUUAACCAUAAACUAUGCCGACUAGGGAUCGGAUGAU
Molecule: ribosomal RNA, 487 nt
Filed under: uncultured Glomus
Lineage: Eukaryota; Fungi; Glomeromycota; Glomeromycetes; Glomerales; Glomeraceae
Description: SSU rRNA
Rfam family: Eukaryotic small subunit ribosomal RNA
Source: RNAcentral